Molecule: long non-coding RNA, 249 nt
Organism: Thamnophis elegans (Western terrestrial garter snake)
Lineage: Eukaryota; Metazoa; Chordata; Lepidosauria; Squamata; Natricidae
Exons: 3
Source: RefSeq, a predicted model, not a curated record
GUAAUAUCAACCAUUAUGUGUUUAUUAGGAGGAGGUGACAGAUUCGCAAUGUGUGAAAGCAUGUGAAGAGUGUGAGGAAGAUGAGUUAUACGCAAAUCUCACCAUGCCUACAGAUUCACAAUAUAAUUUAUACAUGAAUGCAAAUCAGUUACAAGGGGAAAUAGAAGAUUGGAGUGACAUUAAUGAUGAAUUGUUUGCCUUGUUAACUCUACCUGAGGAGUCUCAAGAGAUUUCCUAUAGUGGGGCCCA